CACAUCAAAGUUUCCUAGUCUCUUGAACUUUACAUAAAUAGAGAUAAGAAUAAAAUAGAAAGUUAUAUUCGUUCCUAAUUCCAAUUCCAAUUAGUCAGAUGAUUCCACGAAAUGAAUAUUCGCAAUAAAAUAUCUUAUCAACAGCAUAAUUUACGUUCGUUUCGUUCACGAUUUCAUAAAAACAUCAAAAAUAUGAACCUAACCUAAGUCAUAUCUAUACGUAAAGUACGUAUUUCAUCGAUUAUGAUCUUUGAAUUUUCCAUUGUCAGUCUACAGCGAGUAAUUCACGAAAGCAGAAGUAUACGUAUACGUAAUAGGUACCUACCUACAUGAACUACAUACUGUUAUCUAAGUGGAGUGGAUUAAAGUGCUCGAGAAUACGCGUUAAAGGUCUCGAAAUUGAGGUAGCCUUAUCAUAUCGAGGAUAUAUACAAUUUUCAAUAUAUUUUUGUUGUACACAGAGCCAGAGCUAUGCAGACAUCAACUCCGUUCAUAUUCUCGAUGAUUUUCAUCUCAUUAUGUAAUCACAUCUCUAAUGCAAUACCAUUGGACUCGUCUACAUCACUCGAAUCUCCGACCAAAGAUCAUCCUCACCAUCACCUCUACACCAUCUCAUUACUCAGACCAAACCAUCACUCCAAACGGAUCCGAAGAUCGCCCACAAUAACCUCAACAAUAAGCCCAGAAGUCCUCCUCCAAGCCUCUCGAAAGCUCAAAGAGGUAAUCAACUCGAACGGUGGGUUCUCCAAAGUAAACGUCGAUAUCCAAGCAGCUUACAACGUGAUGUACUCCGAAGAAGUCCAAUCAGACCCUGUGCUACGAGAAGCAGUCAAAUUCAACUCGAAAGGACACACUUGCACAGUCACCCUUUGCAACUCGAUAGGCCAAUCACAAAUCUCCUUGGGGGCAUGUACGCCACACUUCUGCCAUUGCGGAAGUGGUAAAGCGUUUGUUAAAAGUUGCGGUCAAGGAACAGUGUACGAUGCUUUUCUGCAAAAUUGCAAUUGGCCCAAUGAGGUUGAAUAUUGUACCAACUGACUCUCUCGAUGCUGAUGAUGAAAUAAAGCAGAGUUUGGAACGUAGGAGUUUAGGCAUCGUAAUCAUCGAAAAUACCUACGCGUAAGAUUAUAUUUUGACUUUUUUUUAAAGAAUAAUUUGAAUUUCUCGACGACGACUCCGUAUCCUAAUGAGAUACCUUACGUCAUACGACGUUGGCGGGAAAUCCUCUAAAAUUAUAAUCCGAGAUACCACGACGACGAUGAUUAGUCGAGUCGAUGAUGAUGAUGGUGUAUUUGGUAAUCGUACACAUAGCUCAAUUAUUAUUAUGCUACGGUACAAUUUCCAUAGCCAUAUACACGCAUUCUGGACGCCAGAGAUCAACGUACAUCUUCGAACGUGUCUUUCAAGACUCACUCGAGCUAGAGAAAGAGAAGCAUUCGCAUCCCAAAAGAUUUCGUUAUUCGUCAACGUGUACCUCUCUACCUAUACGAACGUGUGGAGUCUUUAGAGAGCAUGUUUUUUUCCCUUCUUCAUCUUCAUAAUACAUACGAAGCCUUGAAAUCCGCAUCGACCAUAUCGAAUCGAGUUGCAGAUAGGUGAUUCAUAUAAUAGUUCAUUUUAGCCGGUAUCGUUUCGGUUCUUUACACCAACUGCAGACUGUUUCAAUCAUCGGUGUACUUAGAAAAAAAUGUGAAAAAAAAUUCACUCGAAUCGAGCUGAGCAGGUGAUGAGAAUGACCAGGACAGGAACACAUACCUAGAAUACUGUAUAGGUAUCUCGUAAAGAAGACCACAUUAUAGCCACCAGUGUCAUUUUUCGAUUAAAUAUUCAAUAUCGUAUACGUUUUUAAUUCAAAUUGCACAUCAUCGCCGAGUAUUUGAAGGUAAAACUCGUACAUCGAAAUAAUUCCGCGAAAUUCAAUGUCUCAUCAUCCAGACUGUUGCAUUUUUAAAUGCAAAAAUAGUAGGUACAUAACUGAUUCAUGAAGUUGUAAGAGUAGGUGGACUAAGAGUAAGACAACCUCUCACAAUUUGUUAGUCUCCAAACCUAAAUAAAAACCUGCUCCAUUCAUCACCAUCCUGCAGUACAAAAAAUACCCAUAUAUGAAUAUUUAUCCUCGAUUUGCACUUUGCACCGAAGAAUCGACGAUAUAAAAUUUACAACAACAAAAAAUUCUCAUUUUUCAAAAUGAAAGCUUUUCAACUUUUUAAAGCUAGAAGAUGAAUUACUUUUCUGAGAUGAAUAUUGCUUUUGCUCUCGUAAAAUAUGCAAGCUUUAAUUAUAAAAAGGGUAAUCCAGAAUGUACCUACGAGACGUCGUCGAGGAUUAAAAUGUAGUAGUACGAGAAGCUUGAGUGUGAGGUCAACGGUCUGUGGUCUGUGUACGAGAAGGAGCACCUAUUUGUAGUACAUAUACUCGUUUCUAAAGGAACGAAAGCCACUCUCUUGAAGCUGGACUGGGUGCUCGUUGCUCGUUAUCUAAGUAUGAUACUUGUACUAUAGCGCGAUUAACCUAUAAACCCAAUAUUACCUGUCAAUUGUAAUUAGCUAAUUGUUCGAUAUAAAAGUGUAAGUACAGAAGAGACAGAAAGGUCUAAAGUGGAUUAGAUUGAAAGAUACUACGUCGUCGUCGUGUCGAGAGUCGAUAUGUUGUUGGUACUUGGUAAUUUGAGUACUUACGAUGUUUAUUACAGAAUAUGUGGCGAUGUUUUUAUAAAAUAUGGGGUCGAAUUAGGUACGUAUGGUCGUAAAAUUAAUUAAUUUUUACCACAAUUUUCUACGAAAUUUUCAAGUUGGAUGAUUUGAAAAAAAAACGUGGACGUGUGUUUGAAUUUUAGGUAAUACAUAUUCUACUUUUUAAAAAAAUAAGUUAUUUUUUCAGUUAUAUCACAUUAAAAUAAAUGUAACAAAUAUUAUGAACAUCAAAAAAUAAAUAUGUGUAAAAAUUGUU
Long non-coding RNA from Planococcus citri (citrus mealybug), 2949 nucleotides. RefSeq lists it as uncharacterized. The transcript is spliced from 2 exons. NCBI's taxonomy places the organism in Eukaryota, Metazoa, Arthropoda, Insecta, Hemiptera, Pseudococcidae. The record is from RefSeq and is a predicted model, not a curated record.